AGCAAGUAUUGUUUGCUAAAUUUACUAUGCCAUAAACAAUAAGAUGUCAAUGUAUUGUACAUAUAUUCUAUCAAGAUGUAGUAUAUCCAAUGCAUGACUACUAUAUCCCAACGUGGCAAGCAAGUAGAUAACAUGAUCCAUUCUAUCAAUAUAUGAUGAUUAUGCUCUAUUAUGCCAACCAAGUAUACUAUGAUGCAACAGGCAAAUUAUCAAGUAUGCUAUAUGUCUCAACACUAUACUAUAAGCAUGUCAAAGUAAUCCAACUACUAAUCCUAUCUAGUAGUGAUUGUCAUUUUCCGGUUCAAUAUCAUUGUUUAAUCAUAUUCUAGGACCUACAUAAAUGUAGUCUAGCUUGUGCCACCUAAGCGUCGAUGGUAGCUCCAGCAUUCUCACUCUAGGAAUGAGUCUAUCCCUCCCGACCCCGUAGGUUUCUCGAUACCGCACGAGCGAGCAUAAGUCGCGUAGGCCAUCUCCGGAGUGCCAGCUUGUAGGGAGCGACCCUCACAAGCAUGUGCGAAUGAGCAUAAAUAGCAAGCAAGCGUAAACAUCGUCUCAAGUACCCAAUCCUCAUGUCUCUAACAUGGUAAUAGUCACUAGCAUCUCAAUGAUCUAGCUCUAGAUCACAAUGUGAAGUCCCAACAUUCACUUAGUCUAGUGCCCCUUUAUGACACUUAGACAUUUCAAUGUUCAAGCAUGUUCCAAUUCUCUCAAUGGCCCUAUCCGCUAGGUACACCAUAACCUAAUCUCAAUGCCGCUUAAUGACAUUAGCUCUCUAAUUCGCAUGCCAAUUUAGUCCAAUGCCCCUUUAUGGCAUUAUAAUAGUUCCAUAUCAAACUAGGGUUCAAGUCCAAUAGCACUUUACAUAUAUCAAUUCUACUAUAUAAAUAGGAACCUAAGUCUCCCAUAAGAAUGCUAAUGCACACAUAAGCCUUACAUGCAAGUUCUCUACUUCAUAGAGGUCCGAAAAUACAAUGUAUGUAACAUAGACAUUUUACGCAUUCUAAAAUUCAGAAAUAUUACAUAUAACAUGAUUAUGCAUGCUUUCUUAUUUUACGAUACUCAAAUCAUCACAAAUGAGAUUUUCUUAUUGUGUGGCUAGGUCAAACCCACCGAAGCGUUUCGGAACCCUUCGUAAGCUCAAACGAAGUUGUCCCCAAGUCCUUUAGCACCCUAAAGGUAAGGGUAGAAGAGAGAAACGAACGUUACGAAAAAUCCCUACCUCGAUCUUUAACCGUCUCAAGAAAAGGGCCAAAACUCACCUUUAAUGAAGAAAUCUCUUCUUAAGCUCCAAAAGAGGGCUAAAACCCUUCCAAUCUAAUCUAGAGGAAGGUUCUAAUCCAAGAGAUUGAGCUCCAAAAGUCCUAGAUCUAAAAAUGCCCAAAAUCAACCGUAGGUUUCCAUUCUAGAGUUUCAUCUCAAAGAAAUCUUCAAAAACCAAAUCUAAAGGAAAAGAUCUUGCUACUAACCUUUUACAGGUUUCAAACAAGGUUCUAAGUCCUCCAACUUUAAAGAUCUUUUCUCAACCAAGCUUCAAAUCCAAGCUUCAAUGGUGGAAAAGCCUCCAACAAGCAAAAGAAGCAAAAAGAGAGGUUUAAUCCACCAAAAUCCAAGUUAAAAGGGGAUCAAAUCCAAAUGGAAGGCACGGAGGAGCUUCUCUUACCUUGUCUCCAUUGAUCUCAGCACAGGGGAGAGCCCUAGUAGCGUGGGUGGUGAUAUAGAAGGCCACAAUUGCAAAAACACCCUUGCAGUUCAAACUACUCAAAAUCUGCCAAAGUGUACCGGUAUACGGGAAAGUGUACCGGUACAAAUCCCGCGAAAAUGCAAACCCGAGCCUUGGAUUGGCAGAAAAAUAGAAGUAUACCGGUACAACCAUCAAGGUGUACCGGUACAAAUCAUGUACCAGUACAACCAGCCACCUGUCACCGGUUUCACCAUAUGCAGAGAGCAAUCCGAGGGUAGCCUAAGUCCAUCUCUUUGAUGACUUUAGCGCUACAUAAAAUAAUACAAAUCUCGGGAUACGAGCCAUAGGUCAGAACACUGUCAACGACCCACCAGAAAAUCUGAAAAAACUCAGAACACACUCAAACACUCGAACCUCGCAAUUUGCAAAGGUCCAGUGUGUUACAUUCACCCCUCCUAAAAAGGAGUUUCGUCCGCGAAACUCGAAAAGUAAAGUACCUCAAAUCUCCAUCUGAAAGAGAUGGGGAUAGCGCUCUCGCAGUGCCCUCUCCAACUCCCAAGUGGCCUCGCGUUCAUCGUGGUUGCUCCAAAGCACUUUCACGUAGGGAAUCUCACGGUUCCGCAGCCUCUUCACCUCACGAGCCAAAAUCCUCACAGGUUGCUCUUCGAAGCACAAAUCAUCCCUCAGCUCCAAAGGUGUGGUGUCUACCACAUGAGCCGGAUCGUGGAUGUACUUCCGGAGGACCGAUACAUGAAAUACAUUGUGUACACCCGAUAGGUUCGGAAGUAACGCAAGUCGAUACGCUACCGGGCCUACACGCUCCAAAACCUCAUACGGUCCAAUGUAUCGGGAGCUCAACUUACCCCGGAUCCCAAAUCUUCUAAUCCCCUUGGUCGGCGAGACUUUCAAGAAGACAUGAUCUCCAAUCUGAAACUCCAAGUCUCGUCGCCGCUUGUCAGCAUAACUCUUUUGCCUACUCUGGGCUGUGAACAAACGCUCUCGAGCAAUGCGAACCUUGUCCUCUGCUUCCUGGAGCACAUCUGGGCCUAAAGCCAAUCUCUCGCCAACUUCACUCCAAUGAAGUGGUGAUCUACACUUUCGUCCAUAGAGUGCCUCGAUAGGUGCCAUCUUGAUGCUUGCUUGAUAACUGUUGUUAUAAGCAAACUCCGCCAUCGGUAGAUGCUGCAACUAUCCUCCGUGAAAGUCUAUCACACAGGCUCGAAGCAUAUCCUCAAGAGUCUGUAUAGUGCGCUCAGAUUGCCCGUCACUCUGGGGGUGGAAAGCUGUACUGAAGUAUAAGCGCGCACCCAAAGCAUCUUGUAAGCUCAUCCAAAAGUGAGACACAAAUCGGGGGUCUCGAUCUGAUACUAUAGAAGUAGGUACCCCGUGCAGUCGCACAAUCUCAUCCAAGUAUACCUGUGCGAGUCUCUCACCAGUCCAAGUAGUGUGAAUAGGUACGAAAUGUACUGAUUUCGUCAGCCUAUCCACGAUCACCGAAAUAGCAUCAUGCCCGGCCUGCGAGCGGGGCAAACCCAUCACAAAGUCCAUGGUGAUCUUCUCCCAUUUCCACACCGGAAUCGGUAAGCUCUGCAAUUUUUCCGCAGGAACUCGGUGCUCAGCUUUCACCUGUUGGCAAGUUAGACAUCUAGCAACAAACUCACCAACGUUCUUCUUCAUCUUGGGCCACCAAUAAAGCAACUUUAAGUCCUUGUACAUCUUGAUGCCUCCCGGAUGUAUAGCAUACGGUGCUCGGUGUGCCUCUUGAAGAAUUUCUUCUCUAAGUGCCGAUUCCGCCGGUACACAGAUCCGUCCACGGAAACGCAUCAAUCCAACACCUUCCACAGAAAAGUCACCGGUGCAACCAUCAAUCAUCUUAGCUCGAAUCCUUUGCAACUCCACAUCGGGGACUUGCUUUUCUUUAAUCCUUUCCACCAGUGUAGGUUGCACCACCAAAGUCAUCAGUCUCAAGGGUGUAUCAGGAGCCACCACCUCCAACUCCAACCGCUUCAUCUGCUCGAUCAACGGUGGUUGAGUAACCACAAGCAUCACUAAGUUUUCCGUCGAUUUCCUACUUAGCGCAUCCGCCACCACGUUAGCCUUGCUCGGAUGGUAAAGAAUAGUCAAGUCAUAAUCCUUGAGUAGCUCCAACCAUCUGCGCUGCCUCAAGUUCAACUCCUUCUGAGUGAAUAAAUACUUUAAGCUUUUGUGAUCCGUGUAGACCUCACAUCGCUCACCAUAAAGAUAAUGGCGCCACAGUUUCAAAGCGAAGACUACGGCCGCCAACUCCAAAUCAUGCGUAGGGUAAUUCCUUUCAUAAUCCUUCAGUUCGCGAGAAGCAUACGCGAUCACUUUUCCGUCCUGCAUAAGAAAACAGCUCAAUCCAUUAAAAGAAGUAUCACUAUAAACCACAUACCCUGCUCCAGCAACUGGUAGGGUCAGGAUUGGGGCGGUUGUCAAUCUCUGCUUCAACUCUUGGAAGCUCCUUUCACACGCAUCAUUUCAAACAACUUGGUGCCUUUAUGCGUGAGCCUCGUGAGGGGAGUGGAUAACCUCGCAAAUCACUCAACAAACCGUCGGUAGUAGCCAGCCAAGCCAAGAAAACUCCGAAUCUCGGUGACACUCGUCGGCCUCGGCCAAUCCUUGAUGGCUUCAAUCUUCCUAGGAUCCACAGCUAUACCUGAUCCUGAAAUCAAAUGGCCCAAAAACGCCACCUCUCUGAGCCAAAACUCACACUUCUUCAAUUUGGCAUAGAGCUCCAUUUCCCAAAGCACUUGAAGUACAAGUCUCAAGUGUUCCUCGUGAUCUGCAUCACUUCGGGAAUGGACCAAAAUGUUGUCGAUGAAUACUAUGACGAACUUGUCUAGAUAAGGCUUGAAAAUACGGUUCAUUAGAUCUAUAAAAGCUACCGGGGCAUUAGUAAGCCCAAAUGGCAUAACUGUAAACUCAUAAUGUCGAUACCGUGUUCUAAAAGCCGUUUUCGACACAUCCUCGGGUUGAUCUUCAACUGAUGGUAUCCCGACUGUAAGUAGAUCUUGGAAUACACACUAGAUCCCUGGAGCUGAUCAAAUAAAUCAUUAAUCCUCGGUAAUGGAUACUUAUUCUUGAUCGUGACUUUAUUAAGUUCACGAUAGUCCACACACAAGCGAAGCGAUAUAUCCUUCUUUUUGACAAAUAGGACCGGUGCUCCCCAAGGUGACACACUUGGUCGCACAAAAUCUUUGUCCAGAAGAUUUUGCAACAUGCCUUUAGCUCCUUCAAUUCUGCUGGUGCCAUCCUAUAGGGCGCCUUCGAGAUUGGAGUAGUCCCGGGAACGAGAUCUAUCACAAACUCAAUCUCCCUAUCAGGUGGCAUGCCUGGAAGCUCUGCUGGAAAUACAUCUCCAAACUCCCGUACUACGGGAAUAUCCUCAAUCCUAGGGGCGUCUGCAUCGCCCUGCAACACAACAGUAGCCAAAUAGGUUACGCAGCCUCUGCUGAUCAACUGUCUAGCUCGAGAGGAGCUAAUCGUCAUCGCAAACAGCGAACUCUGGCAUCCUCGGUACACAACCUCCGUCUGCCCCGGCUUUCUAAAAGUCACCGUUCGAUUCUUGCAAUCGAUAGUGGCGAAGUACUUGGCUAACCAAUCCAUACCUAAUACUACAUCAAACUCUCCAAGUUUGCGCAACGCCAAUAAGUCCGCGGGCAUGAUCCAAUCCCCUACUUGAACAGGGCAACUUGGACAAAUCUCUCUAAUGUCUAAGGAGUGGUCGGGAACUGUUAGUUAUAUGCCCUAUAAGCCAAUCUUGUCAUAACAUAAAGGGUUAAUAUCAGUGUACUUUUCUUUUAUGAUUAAAUCUGGCAUUCUUCAUUCAUAUUAUUGCCAAAUGUAUAUUUAUGAAUCGCCCAUAGAAUUAAUAGUAGAAGAAUUAACUUUCUAAGAAGUUAGAAAUUUGAGACAUAUAUUCUUCUGUAAUUAAUUCUUAAAUGCUCAUGAUCAUAGGAUUAUCACGAGGGCGGUGGUAAAUCCAGAUAGAUCAGUGUAUGUUGUACUUCCCUUAUGGGAUGAUGAGUCUCAAGUCAUUAGUGUGGUGACACUAGAGUAAGCAUACAGGUGAAUGUUGGAGAACAAUUUCACUGAGCGUGACCAACUAUAAACAAUCACAUGGAUGUCUACUCACUCGUCAGUGAAUUGUUCCAUACUGUAGUAGUGUGAGUGAUUCUUUGAUCUGAGGCACCAUGGUUAUCUUGCAUGUGGGUUAUUGUAGUUUGACUGUGUAAAUACUUAUACCCUAAUCAUGGGUUAAGUCAACACAUGUUGGCUGCAGUGGGUCAUACGUGGAGGUAGGUGUGUGUCAAGAUGGAAUCUAUCACCCUCGGUAGAGAGGUAAUUGUCCUCUACUAUCUGUUUUACAAGAUAUAAAAGUCCUUGGCCAAGGCCGUAUGAUUUUAUGGAAAAGAGUUUCCAUAUUGUUAAUCAGAUGAGACAUAUGAUUGAGUAAUGGGGUUUGACGAGUAAUCCAUAACCUCAGCUCAAUCGGGACAAGUGAUAGAAGGAUUUUAUCACACGGUAACUACAUCUAGAGGUUCCGUCUAUUAUUAAUUCUACUUGGAUUGCCGCGAUAUACUGCUAGGCGUCACUCUUGGAUUGUGGGACCCAUAAGAGUAAUUAAGAUAGUUAAUUACACUCAGUUGGGAGAGCCAAAAAUAUUUUGGUCCAUCGAGAAGAGUUCCGAUGGUGACAUUAAAAGAGUUUACUGUCAUAUCUCACUACCAGGUAGAAUUGAACCUAUGUGGUCACACACAAUAAAGGCUGCGUGUGAUCUAGUACUUGGAGAAUUAAUAGAGACUAUUUUGCUAAAGUUGUAAAGCAAGAAUUUAUUUGCUAAGGUGGUUAGCAGAAACUCUAACUUGCAAAAGAUGAAAAUUGUAUGGAGUGACCUAAUACUAAAUUUGAUUUAGUAUGAGAGCUUAUGUGCAAUAGUUGCAACAACUUAUGAAGUGAUAGCUCUCUCUCUCUUUUAAUUAAUCCUUGUAUUAAUAUGUUGGGAGGUGAAGACGAGUAGGGAGAAAAGAAAGAGAAUGAAACCGUGCAUAAUAAUUGUACUAUUAAUGGAAAAGAAAAGAGAACGCUCCUUUUCUUUUCUUCUCUUUGCCUCCAUGCAUAUUAAUUGAGAGGAGUUAAUUUUCCUAAUGCACGUUUCAUUCUCUCCGUUCUUUCUCUCAUUUCCAAACAAAGAGAAACUUUAAUUGUAGUGUAAUUAUAGUGAAAUGAACGUCUUAUUAUGAGAACGCUCCUCUACCUCUAUCUCGUCUCUCUAUAUUUGGCUUCACCUUUAAAUAGAGCAUCUCCCAAUGACGAAAAUAUAGGUGAUUUGAAGUAGAAUACAAACAAAGAGAGAAAGCUUUUCAAUUAUAUAGAGCUCUCUUUUAAUCAUAAGAGAGUGGUCUCCAAUAUUAAUUAGUCUCUAUAGUUAAUCCUCUUCAAAUUGCUAGCACAAUUUUGAGGAUUAAUUUUUCUCCACAUUAACACAAGAAAUCACGAAAGGAGUUUCAAGAUUACACUGUGAUUGUGUGAAGCACAGAUCCCGGAGCAGCCUUGUGUGGAUACACGUAGAGGCCGAACACUUGUGCGGCUCAAAGGACUAGAAGUUCAGAUCCAAAUCAACUGUGAAAUAAUUUCGGUAAUUUGCACAGGUUGAAAUUCGAACCCUUCUUCUAAUUAGAUUAGAAUAAUAAUUUUUGUGUGUCACACGAGAUGAUCUUGGUACAUAUAUAUACUAAUAUCAUAAAUGUUAUGAUAUUAAAGAAUACAUGAUUGGAUCAUAUUUUAUAAAUAAAAAAAAUUAUUUCUGCUGCAUUAAAUGCAUAAAUGCACAUGUAGAUGCAUACAUUUCCUUACAGGAACAACAACACGUCCCGGAUGCAACAAGGAAACAAGUGGGAUGCCAUGCAACUCGACAAACAGCCAGUCUAUAAAUGAAUACGAUGCACCGGUAUCAAAUAAUGCUCGUACUCGAAUACCAUAAAGUAAAAUUAUACUUGCGACCACAUUCUCGGCUGCUGCCGCCUCCUCAGUCUGGGCCACAUACAUGCGCCCGCUCGGGGCCGGUCGUGAUCCCUCCGUCUGCCGCUGAACAGGUGGCUGCCCAGCCUGGUGGUGAGCAGAAAGUGUCCCCUGACUGGGACCUGGUGAUGCUGGUGCAGAUGCCGAUGAUGGCGCUGGCGCCGAACUCCUCGGGUAGUCCGACUGGAAGUGGCCCUCCUGGCCACACAAGAAGCACCUGCCCAGACUGCGUGAACACUGUCGUGGAUAAUGAGGACCACCGCAGAUCACGCAGCGCGGAGCCUGACGACGAUCAGGUCCUCCUCACUGAGUAGAUGAGCCACGUUCCCGCGACUGGCUCCGGCUCCUGGGGUGCCUCGGCGACCUCCGUGAGUGCAUCUGGCUCGCACCCUCAGCUGCGGGCCUCUUGCCCUUCCCCUUCUCCAAGCCCUUGCGACGCUUCUGAAGGUUUGCCCCUCCAGCCUCCACAAUGAGUACACGGUUCACAGCCUCCCGGUAGGUUUGGAGGUUGGAGGACUGCACGAACCGGAAGAUCGAAGGCCGCAAUCCACGCUAAAAAAUGCGGGCCUUGUCCUCGUCAUCUCGUACCACAAAAGGUUCACAGUGGAGUAGCCGAGAAAACUCCCUCUCGUACUCAGCCACUGUCUACUCUUCCUGGCACAGGCUGCGCAGGUCCUGCUCCAUCUUCCUCUUGAUGCUGGUGGGGAAGUAGUGUGCCAGAAGAAGCUUCUUGAACCUCGUCCAAGAAAUCACUGCAAAAUCAGUGUUGGGGUUGUCCUGGAUGUCCAACCACCAUCUGUAGGCCUCGUCGUCCAAAUGAUGUGUGGCGAGCCACACUCGAUCCCUCUCCUCGAUAAAGGUGUCCCGAAAUAGCUGCUCCAUAUGCAUCAGCCACUUCUCAACAAUCCAGUGGUCGACCUUCUCACCAUCAAAGAUCCUCGGGCUACACCUCCUAAACUCACUGAGGCGCCCCAUAAGUCGAUCCCGCUCGGCUCCCUAGGCCAUCACAGGGAAAGCUGCCCUCGCCGCAGGUAUCUGAACCGGUGGUACUGUAACCACCCCCUCCCGAGGUGCGAUCUCGGGCGCCGCACGUGAAGAACUGGGCGCGGGGGAUUGCGCCCUCAGCGCGACGUCCACAACGGGCGCUGGUGGUGUGGGAACCUGAGUCUCUCUAGAAGCUGCCGCCUGCUAUAGCAAGAGAUCCUCCAGGUGCUUCAUCCGUGCCUCCUGCCGCUGUGCCACCUCGGCCUGUCACUGAGCGGCCGACGCCUGCUGUGCUACAAGAUCAGUGAGGACCGCAAGCUGGGACCUCAAAUCGCGGACCUCGCUAGAUCCGGAAGUAGCGGAGGUCUCAACCUCCUCGAGGUGUGCCACAUCAUCCGCUCCGGCAGAUUGAAAGCGUAUAAUCGGCAUCGCCACUACAAAACAUAAAAGCGCAAGUUAGUAAAACCCACGCUAUCGCAUCCCCGCUCAAGGUAGACAAAACCCAAAUCUUGCGAAAGUAAGGAAAUGUUCUUCACUACUAACUCCCGAUGUUACGUUGUCGGCCGCCAACGUAACCCUCCGCGAAGUUAGAAGCCAUACACUCCAAUCAACUCUAACUUUUUAGAGUUAUCAUAAAACCCAAUCGAAACACUUUCGCUUACAAGUCAAAUAGAUCUCGUCUCUCACGAGCCUAUAUCCUAUAGUCCAACUGGUCUAAGGUUUGCUAGGUCCACUAAGACUCAACCCUAGGCUCUCAUACUAAACUAAUCUGUCACGCCCCGGGACCGGCGGAGGCCCUUCCGGUAGCGCGUCCAGACCGGCCAUAUAUCAACACAUAUCAACCGUCUACAACAACAGCGAAAAAUAAAGCCAAAAGUAAUCUACAACUAGAGAUAUCAGAGCAAGAGUAGAUCUAUCAUCUGUAACAAGGUGGAAGGAAUAUACUAAACAAUAAAAGUGAAUCAUAAAGUUACACAAUAACCAUCUCCAAAAAGGAGUACACAAAAGGGGGGGCACUACACAUGGAUACAACUCUCAACCUCUCCAAAAAGAAAACAACAAGAGGUAGACCACCUAUCAACGCAUCCCUCGAUAGCAAGCUAGCUCGAGGCAAUACCCUUUCCGCGGUCCCUAGCCUCUCCCGGCGUGGAAGGCUCUGAAAUAAGACAUAAAACAGAGGGCGUGAGAACUAUAAUUUAUAGUUCCCAGUGGGCAAUUACUGACCUCAGCUUAAUGCACUACUAGCCCCCAGAAGAAAAGGGUAAGUAUGGAAAUGACGAUAAUAAUAAUAAUAAACCGUAAGUGAAAGAGCAAGUAUUGUUUGCUAAAUUUACUAUGCCAUAAACCAUAAGAUGUCAAUAUAUUGUACAUAUAUUCUAUCAAGAUGUAGUAUAUCCAAUGCAUGACUACUAUGUCCCAACGUGGCAAGCAAGUAGAUAACAUGAUCCAUUCUAUCAAUAUAUGAUGAUUAUGCUCUAUCAUGGCAACCAAGUAUACUAUGAUGCAACAGGCAAAUUAUCAAGUAUACUACAUGUCUCAACACUAUGCUAUAAGCAUGUCAAAGUAAUCCAACUACUAAUCCUAUCUAGUAGUGAUUGUAAUUUUCCGGUU
RNAcentral lists this long non-coding RNA (10318 nucleotides) under Ananas comosus (pineapple). RNAcentral describes it as "long non-coding RNA (ACOM_LNC043569)". The record is from RNAcentral. Lineage: Eukaryota; Viridiplantae; Streptophyta; Magnoliopsida; Poales; Bromeliaceae.